CCUACGGGAGGCAGCAGUAGGGAAUAUUCCACAAUGGGCGAAAGCCUGAUGGAGCAACGCCGCGUGGGUGAAGAAGGUCUUCGGAUCGUAAAACCCUGUUGUUAGAGAAGAAAGUGCGUGAGCGUAACUGUCCACGUUUCGACGGUAUCUAACAAGAAAGCCACGGCUAACUACGUGCGAGCCGCCGCGGUAAUACGUAGGUGGGAAGUGUUAUCCGGUUUGAUUGGGGGUAAAGGGCACGCAGGCGGUCUGUUAAGUCUGAUGUGAAAGCCUUCGGCUUAACCGGAGUAGUGCAUUGGAAACUGGGAGACUUGAGUGCAGAAGAGGAAAGUGGAACUCCAUGUGUAGCGGUGAAAUGCGUAGAUAUAAGGAAGAACACCAGUGGCGAAAGCGGCUCUCUGGUCUGUAACUGACGCUGAGGUUCGAAAGCGUGGGUAGCAAACAGGAUUAGAUACCCGAGUAGUC
Molecule: ribosomal RNA, 465 nt
Filed under: uncultured bacterium
Lineage: Bacteria
Description: partial 16S ribosomal RNA
Rfam family: Bacterial small subunit ribosomal RNA
Source: RNAcentral